RNAcentral lists this RNase P RNA (379 nucleotides) under Lactiplantibacillus garii. RNAcentral describes it as "Lactobacillus sp. FI11369 RNase P RNA component class B". It matches the Rfam family "Bacterial RNase P class B". From Rfam's summary of the family: Ribonuclease P (RNase P) is a ubiquitous endoribonuclease, found in archaea, bacteria and eukarya as well as chloroplasts and mitochondria. Its best characterised activity is the generation of mature 5'-ends of tRNAs by cleaving the 5'-leader elements of precursor-tRNAs. The record is from RNAcentral. Lineage: Bacteria; Bacillati; Bacillota; Bacilli; Lactobacillales; Lactobacillaceae.
AAUUCUGGGUAAUCGCGGUCGGCUUAUGUCGGCUGAGGAAGGUCCAUGCUCGCACAAGCUGCGAUGCUUGUAGUGUUCGUGCUCGGUGAAAAAAUAAGCCGGGGUACCGAUUUUAUCGGUAACGGCGGGAAAACCAGCUAAGGCGCAAGCUAUGCUCUAGUAUCCCUGAAAAGUGCCACAGUGACGAUACUUGGUUGGAAAUGACCAAGGUGGAACGAGGUAAACCCCGCGAGCGGGCAACCCAAACUACGGUAGGGGCGCUUCACAUAGGUAACUGAACUAAAUGUGGGGGGAGAUUCUAGUGAUCUCGAGAUAGAUGAUUACCGCCGUAUCAACAGACGCCUGUUCUUUGGUAUGGUACAAAACAUGGCCUACAGGA